This 2738-nucleotide long non-coding RNA is filed under the name Phaseolus vulgaris (common bean). Its description in RNAcentral is "long non-coding RNA (PVUL_LNC004356)". Lineage: Eukaryota; Viridiplantae; Streptophyta; Magnoliopsida; Fabales; Fabaceae. The record is from RNAcentral.
UGACUUGAGGUUUUUGAAACUUCUUUUUGAAUUAGUUAUGCAACUGUUUGACUCAUUCAACUGGUUAAAUCGUGGUUUCAACCGGUUAAAUGUGUAUUUUCAUAACAUUUUUUUGAAAACUUGUUUUAACUGAUUCACUGAUUAAAACUGCCUUGAACGACUGCAUUUCAAGUGCUAUAAAUAUAGCCUCUCUUUCAAAGCAAAAUACACAUUCAAAUACAACAAGUAUUGAUACAGAUUUGAGAUCAAAGAAAGAGAUUUGUUUUAGGAGUUUUUCAAAGUGCAAGAUUGUUGUUCAAGCUUUGUUGUGGUAACAAGUUCUGAUCAUAGGAGUUUCAUGUAUUGUACAAAUUCAGGUGUUUUCUAUCCUUGUCUAGAUACUUGUAGUAGUACUUCUUUAAACUGUUGUGUGUGUUUGAAAUCCUGUAAAGAAAGAGGUUGUUCUGUCUUGAGGUGUUUGAUAUUUCAAAGAGGGUGAGUGAAUCUUCUGGGUUGCAAGGUUACCUCUUUGUGUGUGUGUUGUAAUCUGGUUUUGAUUACUAGUGGAACUCAGAGGUUGUUCUGAGAACUAGAUGUAGCUCAUGUGAGAGUGAACCAGUAUAAACCUAAUAUGUAAAUCUCUCCUUCUCUCAAACUCUCCAUAACUGUUUGAUAAUUUCAUUUUUGCUGCUGGUAUAAACAACCGAUUAAAACGAAGGUUUAACUGGUUAAAAUUCUGAUAAUUGUUUCUGUUGGAUUGUUUGAUUGCUUUCCUUAAGUGUUUAUCUAGUUUGUUUGAUAAAGAUUCAUUCUAAAUCAAGUAUUUGCGAAAAUAUUUCAUAAAACAAUUCACCCCCUCUUAUUUAAACCAUCAAUUCUAACAAUUGGUAUCAGAGCUAGGUUCUUGAAAAAUACUCAAAUUCUUGUUUCUGUUUUUUUGAAGAAGAAAAAAUCGAUGGCUGACAAAAUGCCUUUUGGGGAAGGUGCUUCCAUAAACAGGCCACGACUGUUUUGUGGGGUUAAUUACCAGUUUUGGAAGGUGAGAAUGAAAAUCUUUAUGCACUCAACUGAUAAGGGUAUUUGGGAAACGAUUGAAAAUGGUCCAUUUAUACGUCAAGUCAAAAGAGAUGAGGUUUUAAUUGAUAAACCUUCAUCUGAGUGGACUGAGGUUGAAAGUAAAAAAGCCAAGUUUGAUUGGAUUUCCAAAAAUAUAAUAACCUCUGCUUUGAGCUAUGAUGAAUUUUUCAGGGUUUCACAGUGUAGCUCUGCAAAGGAAAUGUGGGACAUCCCAGAGGUCACACAUGAAGGAACAAAUGAUGUCAAGCGAGCUAGGAAGCAUGCUCUGAUUCAAGAGUAUGAACUCUUCAUAAUGCAGAAGGGAGAAACCAUCUAUGAUGUGCAUAAAAGGUUUUCUCACAUUGUAAAUCAUUUGAUGAGUCUUGGUAAGACGUUUGAUAAGGAGGAGCUGAACAUCAAGAUACUGAAGUGUCUUGAUAGAUCAUGGCAGCCAAAGGUCAUUGCCAUCUCAGAAUCCAAAGAUUUAACAUUUAUGACUGUUGCCGCAUUGUUUGGUAAAUUAGGGAACAUGAGCUUGAAAUAAAUAGGCUUAUUGUCCAAGAAAGUGAGGACAAUCACAACAAGCGCAUAACACUCAAAGCUUGUAAUCACAAACAACAACCAGACUCUAGUGGGAGUGAUGAAGACACCAUGAGUCUUCUAUCAAGGAAAUUCAGCAAGUUCUUGAAGAAAAGACAAGCUUCAAAGAGGUAUGGUUCUAAAAAACCUAGUGAAUUUAAUACUAACAAGUACACUUGCUAUGGCUGUGGAGAACAGGGUCAUAUCAAGGUUGAAUGCCCCAAUAAUGAAGUCAAAGAAAGGCAGACUUUAAGAAAGAGAAAAAGGUAAAAGCCAAGAAGGCCUAUGUAGCAUGGGAUGACAAUGAAGUCUCAUCCUCAAGCUCUUCAGAUGAUGAAGAAGCAAAUCUAUGCCUUAAAGCUUCAGUAACAAGUAGCAUGAGUUUUUCAUCCUCAAGUAAAGGUAACAAUUAUUAUCAAUUGCUUUAUGCUUUUAAUGAAACUCAUGAAGUGGCUAACCGAUUGACACUUUUUCUCAACCGGUUGAAAGGUCUAAAUAACUGGUUGGAAAACAGAGUCAAGUCUUUAGAGGAAGAGCUUAGCAAAACAAAAGAAGAUUUUGAAAACCUUGAUUUAGUUUACAAAAACUCUUCUUGCAAUUGUGAAUCAAAAGUUUGUGAAAAUUGUGAAAAUCUUGAAAGAAAGAUUCACUAUCUUUUGAAAACCUUGGACAAAAUUACAACUGGAAAAUCCAAUUUUGAAGAUGUUCUUGCAUCUCAAAAAUGUGUUUUUGGAAAAGCUGGUUUAGGGUUCUAUCCUCAAAGCAAAGAAAAUAAGAUUUCAAAACCUUUUACAUUUCAAGUGCUAUAAAUAUAGCCUCUCUUUCAAAGCAAAAUACACAUUCAAAUACAACAAGUAUUGAUACAUAUUUGAGAUCAAAGAAAGAGAUUUGUUUUUGAAAGGAGUUUUUCAAAGUUCAAGAUUGUUGUUCAAGCUUUACUGUGGUAACAAGUUCUGAUCAUAGGACUUUCCUGUAUUGUGCAAAUUCAAGUGUUUUCUAUCCUUGUCUAGAUACUUGUAAUAGUAAUUCUUUAAAAUGUUGUGUUUGUUUAAAAUUUUGUAAAGACAGAGGUUGUUUUGUCUUGAGGUGUUUGAUAUUUCAAAGAGGGUGAGUGAAUCUUCUGG